RNAcentral lists this ribosomal RNA (201 nucleotides) under uncultured bacterium. Its description in RNAcentral is "partial 16S ribosomal RNA". It matches the Rfam family "Bacterial small subunit ribosomal RNA", at positions 524 to 724 of the family's 1533-position model. The record is from RNAcentral.
UACGUAGGGUGCAAGCGUUAAUCGGAAUUACUGGGCGUAAAGCGUGCGCAGGCGGUUUUGUAAGUCUGUCGUGAAAGCCCCGGGCUCAACCUGGGAAUUGCGAUGGAGACUGCAAGGCUUGAAUCUGGCAGAGGGGGGUAGAAUUCCGCGUGUAGCAGUGAAAUGCGUAGAGAUGUGGAGGAACACCGAUGGCGAAGGCAG